Molecule: long non-coding RNA, 948 nt
Organism: Lutra lutra (Eurasian river otter)
Lineage: Eukaryota; Metazoa; Chordata; Mammalia; Carnivora; Mustelidae
Exons: 3
Source: RefSeq, a predicted model, not a curated record
CUUCAUUCAUUCAGAACACAUUCAUCAAAUGACUACCCCAUGCCAAGUCUUCCCGUGCAACUCUCCCUCCCGGCAAAGCCCAAAUGACCUGUCAGUCACUCUAUCAAUUGAACAGAAGAAUGAAACUGGUCAUACAAGUCAUCUGGCAUCAGACAGACUCUGCCAUUGACAGAUGUGAACAAUCCGUUGCCAUGUGGACUCCUUAUACAGUUUCACCAUUUGCCAAAGCAAUGAUUCCACUGCUUCUAUGUGGGACACAAGGGACACAAGUAAGAACUAAAACAAAGAACCACCUCUACUCCUGGGUCACAGGUCCAGAGAGGAGGGCCCAGAAAAGGAUACCCAAGUCCUGGCAACAGAUUUGGUGACCAUCCUUCAGCCUUCCCAGUUGCGCUUGCCAUUUUCAAUAUCACUUAGAGCUGUGGUUCCAAUUCUGUCCCCUUGUGUCUCCAGCAUCUCUCCCUCCCAGGGAGGCAGCUUCGCUUUUGGUCUUCAGUGGGGUGGAGAGGUGAGUGUGUUGUUUCAGGUUGCCUGUGUUCCAUCCUGGGCAGCGUGGAGUCAAGGCAGAGGGUAUGGAGAGUGGGACAUAACAACUUCAUUUUCUCUAGCUCUUGAGCCCACGUCAAACCCUUCUUACAAUAACAGACCCCAAUCUUCAGCUGGUGCCUGGGACAGAUGGAGGUCUUGGCAGAAGCUGAGAUUACUUUCCAAUUUCACUGAGAUUAUAAAAACAACAUUUUUGAACUUUAAAUCCUGGCACUCAUGACCCUGAGUAUUUUCUUUUUCUUUUGUCACUACGUUCUUUGAAGACCAAGUCACCUGUUCCUUCAUCUAGAGACAAUGUUUCAGGCGAUAAGAAAAGACAAACUAUCAGAAACCCCAGAGGCGCCAAUUAUCUACUCUUUUGAUGCUAACAACUUGCAUUUCAACCCAUUCAUUUAUAUAAAA